RNAcentral lists this ribosomal RNA (285 nucleotides) under Roseobacter sp. MBT22. RNAcentral's name for it is "partial 16S ribosomal RNA". It matches the Rfam family "Bacterial small subunit ribosomal RNA", at positions 18 to 333 of the family's 1533-position model. The record is from RNAcentral. Lineage: Bacteria; Pseudomonadati; Pseudomonadota; Alphaproteobacteria; Rhodobacterales; Roseobacteraceae.
CCUGGCUCAGAACGAACGCUGGCGGCACGCCUAACACAUGCAAGUCGAGCGCACCUUCGGGUGAGCGGCGGACGGGUUAGUAACGCGUGGGAACGUACCCUUUACUAAGGAAUAGCCACUGGAAACGGUGAGUAAUACCUUAUACGCCCUUCGGGGGAAAGAUUUAUCGGUAAAGGAUCGGCCCGCGUUAGAUUAGAUAGUUGGUGGGGUAAUGGCCUACCAAGUCUACGAUCUAUAGCUGGUUUUAGAGGAUGAUCAGCAACACUGGGACUGAGACACGGCCCA